RNAcentral lists this long non-coding RNA (602 nucleotides) under Marmota monax (woodchuck). Lineage: Eukaryota; Metazoa; Chordata; Mammalia; Rodentia; Sciuridae. The record is from RNAcentral.
GGCACGAGGGAAGGGUGGAUGGGAAGAAGGUCACUGUCUCAGCUCUGGGCGAGAUUUAUUUAUCCCUCUGGUUCUUCUCGGUCUUUGCCGGGAUGGCUUUGAUCCCGGACUCCUAAAAAUACCUUUGAAGGACCCCCACCCCGCCGCCCACUGUCCUACUGCCUCCCUCUUUGGAAUACUGGGAGGUUACGAAAGAAAGAAAGAAAAAACACCAUUAGACUUUUCCAGAAGGCCCCCCGCUGCUCCUGGGGAGGCGGGAGGAUGUGCAGCCCCCGUCCUCGGCUCCUCGGAGCCUCAGCGUGCCCGCAUUUGCGUCCUCAUUACCACUACAAAGCAGGGACCAGACUGAGCCCCUUUAUAAUGCUUCAUUUUCGACUGAGAGCAUCAAGAGGCCAGAAGCUCCCGAGUCAGCCUGCAGACGCAGACGCCUCCUCGGUCCCGGCUUUAUCUCCAGGGAAAGUUCCAUUUUAAGAACCAGAUGCCAACAUUCCCGGACAGUUUAUGGCAUCCGGAUCCCUCAAGGGUGCUCAUCUGCAGUUCAGAGUGUUGGUAGCAAUUAUUUAUCGUCUGCCCUGGAGAGGAGUUCCUGAACAUAAAUGUCC